GCUUCGGCCCGAGUUGUAAUUUGCAGAGGAUGUUUCUGGCGCGGUGCCUUCCGAGUUCCCUGGAACGGGACGCCACAGAGGGUGAGAGCCCCGUAUGGUUGGACACCAAGCCUGUGUGAAACUCCUUCGACGAGUCGAGUAGUUUGGGAAUGCUGCUCUAAAUGGGAGGUAAAUCUCUUCUAAAGCUAAAUACCGGCCAGAGACCGAUAGCGCACAAGUAGAGUGAUCGAAAGAUGAAAAGCACCUUGAAAAGGGGGUUAAAUAGUACGUGAAAUUGUUGAAAGGGAAGCACUUAUGACCAGACUUGGGCCGGGCGGCUCAUCAGGGGUUCUCCCCUGUGCACUCCGCCCGGCACAGGCCAGCAUCGGUUCUCGUGGGGGGAUAAGACCGUCAGGAA
Molecule: ribosomal RNA, 397 nt
Filed under: Diaporthe sp.
Lineage: Eukaryota; Fungi; Ascomycota; Sordariomycetes; Diaporthales; Diaporthaceae
Description: partial large subunit ribosomal RNA
Rfam family: Eukaryotic large subunit ribosomal RNA
Source: RNAcentral